RNAcentral lists this ribosomal RNA (273 nucleotides) under uncultured prokaryote. RNAcentral's name for it is "partial 16S ribosomal RNA". It matches the Rfam family "Bacterial small subunit ribosomal RNA", at positions 524 to 798 of the family's 1533-position model. The record is from RNAcentral.
UACGUAGGGGCGAGCGUUGUCCGGAAUGAUUGGGCGUAAAGGGCGCGUAGGCGGUCUUUCAAGCCAGAAGUGAAAGGCUACGGCUCAACCGUAGUAAGCUUUUGGAACUGUAAGACUUGAGUGCAGAAGAGGAGAGUGGAAUUCCACGUGUAGCGGUGAAAUGCGUAGAUAUGUGGAGGAACACCAGUGGCGAAGGCGACUCUCUGGUCUGUAACUGACGCUGAGGCUCGAAAGCGUGGGGAGCAAACAGGAUUAGAUACCCCGGUAGUCCCU